RNAcentral lists this ribosomal RNA (634 nucleotides) under uncultured Enterobacteriaceae bacterium. RNAcentral describes it as "SSU rRNA". It matches the Rfam family "Bacterial small subunit ribosomal RNA", at positions 74 to 702 of the family's 1533-position model. The record is from RNAcentral. Lineage: Bacteria; Pseudomonadati; Pseudomonadota; Gammaproteobacteria; Enterobacterales; Enterobacteriaceae.
GAGAGCUUGCUCUCGGGUGACGAGCGGCGGACGGGUGAGUAAUGUCUGGGAAACUGCCUGAUGGAGGGGGAUAACUACUGGAAACGGUAGCUAAUACCGCAUAAUGUCGCAAGACCAAAGUGGGGGACCUUCGGGCCUCAUGCCAUCAGAUGUGCCCAGAUGGGAUUAGCUAGUAGGUGGGGUAACGGCUCACCUAGGCGACGAUCCCUAGCUGGUCUGAGAGGAUGACCAGCCACACUGGAACUGAGACACGGUCCAGACUCCUACGGGAGGCAGCAGUGGGGAAUAUUGCACAAUGGGCGCAAGCCUGAUGCAGCCAUGCCGCGUGUGUGAAGAAGGCCUUCGGGUUGUAAAGUACUUUCAGCGGGGAGGAAGGCGUUAAGGUUAAUAACCUUGGCGAUUGACGUUACCCGCAGAAGAAGCACCGGCUAACUCCGUGCCAGCAGCCGCGGUAAUACGGAGGGUGCAAGCGUUAAUCGGAAUUACUGGGCGUAAAGCGCACGCAGGCGGUCUGUCAAGUCGGAUGUGAAAUCCCCGGGCUCAACCUGGGAACUGCAUUCGAAACUGGCAGGCUAGAGUCUUGUAGAGGGGGGUAGAAUUCCAGGUGUAGCGGUGAAAUGCGUAGAGAUCUGGA